RNAcentral lists this ribosomal RNA (492 nucleotides) under uncultured bacterium. RNAcentral's name for it is "partial 16S ribosomal RNA". It matches the Rfam family "Bacterial small subunit ribosomal RNA", at positions 29 to 507 of the family's 1533-position model. The record is from RNAcentral.
AGUGAACGCUGGCGGUAGGCCUAACACAUGCCAGUCGAACGGCAGCACAGUAAGAGCUUGCUCUUACGGGUGGCGAGUGGCGGACGGGUGAGGAAUACAUCGGAAUCUACUUUUUCGUGGGGGAUAACGUAGGGAAACUUACGCUAAUACCGCAUACGACCUACGGGUGAAAGCAGGGGAUCUUCGGACCUUGCGCGAUUGAAUGAGCCGAUGUCGGAUUAGCUAGUUGGCGGGGUAAAGGCCCACCAAGGCGACGAUCCGUAGCUGGUCUGAGAGGAUGAUAAGCGACACUGGAACUGAGACACGGUCCAGACUCCUACGGGAGGCAGCAGUGGGGAAUAUUGGACAAUGGGCGCAAGCCUGAUCCAGCCAUACCGCGUGGGUGAAGAAGGCCUUCGGGUUGUAAAGCCCUUUUGUUGGGAAAGAAAAGCAGCAGGUUAAUACCCCGCUGUUCUGACGGUACCCAAAGAAUAAGCACCGGCUAACUUCGUG